UACGAAGGGGGCUAGCGUUGUUCGGAAUCACUGGGCGUAAAGCGCACGUAGGCGGCUUUCUAAGUCAGGGGUGAAAUCCUGGAGCUCAACUCCAGAACUGCCUUUGAUACUGGAAAGCUCGAGUCCGGGAGAGGUGAGUGGAACUGCGAGUGUAGAGGUGAAAUUCGUAGAUAUUCGCAAGAACACCAGUGGCGAAGGCGGCUCACUGGCCCGAUACUGACGCUGAGGUGCGAAAGCGUGGGGAGCAAACAGG
Molecule: ribosomal RNA, 253 nt
Filed under: uncultured bacterium
Lineage: Bacteria
Description: partial 16S ribosomal RNA
Rfam family: Bacterial small subunit ribosomal RNA
Source: RNAcentral